Molecule: long non-coding RNA, 1130 nt
Filed under: Mytilus galloprovincialis (Mediterranean mussel)
Lineage: Eukaryota; Metazoa; Mollusca; Bivalvia; Mytilida; Mytilidae
Source: RNAcentral
AUGAUGGAUAUUUUUACGUUGUAGUUUUAUUUGUUUAUAUGAAUAUCUUUUUAUACAUCUGUCGAAAGUGUGGGUUACCAGAACCAGUCCAUCUGUCUGUCCAUAUGCAACACUUUGUACCAUAUGUCAAAUUUGCUGUUACAAAUUUACAUGUAAUUUUAACACAAAUGUACGUUAUGGAUUAACUGAAGAAAGCCCUCUUUUAAUUUUGAAAAUAUUUGGCUCUGUCUUAGAAUUAAGACAAUUUUUUAAAAUAUUGCACACUUGUUCUUAGAGGCUUGGAUUGUUUUCCUCAACAUUUCACAUUAUUUGAAAUGAAUAAUUUCUAGUUUGUUGUUCAGAGUUACUUGACUAGAAAACUAACACUGUUGUUUGGAUUAAUGGUGAAUAUAAACUCGCUUUUGAGUAAUCUAGCUGUAAAUGUGGAAGAUAUUCUAGUGAUUUUUGUCUGGCCUCAAAGAGGCAUAAUGUUUUCAUCAGCAGCAGCAUCUAAAAUGUGUUAAAGAUUCCAUUAGAUCAGUUUAAGGGGAAGGCCUAAUGGUUAGCCUAUGAAAUUUGCUAUGCAGUUGUAUUAGCAUUCACAUGUCUUAACGCCAUUGAGGUUAAUUGGCCUUCCCCUAAAUCAAGGUAUAUUGACUUUGAGACUUUUACUUUAAUAGUAUAAAAGUUAAAAUUUGUGACAAAGUCUGUUUAAAGCUGAGUCAAUGAUAUUUGGCAUGCAGCAGGCUUUGAAUGUUUUGCAUAGUUAACAUGUUACAGUAUUGCCAUUUUAACAUGUCCAUUUUAUUUUUGAAAUGACAUACCUGUAUUGGCAAGACAUAUCUCUGUGUUAACAGAAUUAUUCUGUAGCUGAGAUGCACUUGUUAUAUGCAAAUAGCCUUUUAAACAGGGUUGUUGAAGGUGCUAUAUAUUUUUAUCAUGAUACAUGUAUUAUAACAAAUUAUCUAUGCACUCAUAAAUGUAGAUGAUGGGUGCAAAUGCUGUGAAAAAAUAUAUAAUUUGCAGAGUAUUUAAACUCAGAUCUGGCAGUUUGGACAAUUGUACUUAGAUGUUUCAUGAUAACUUCUUCUGCCAUGUUUAUAAUGUAUUUUAAAUGUAUUUAUAUAUUUAUGAGUAUGUUAAUGAAUAAA